RNAcentral lists this transfer RNA (58 nucleotides) under Ailuropoda melanoleuca (giant panda). It matches the Rfam family "tRNA", at positions 8 to 63 of the family's 71-position model. From Rfam's summary of the family: Transfer RNA (tRNA) molecules are approximately 80 nucleotides in length. Their secondary structure includes four short double-helical elements and three loops (D, anti-codon, and T loops). Further hydrogen bonds mediate the characteristic L-shaped molecular structure. tRNAs have two regions of fundamental functional importance: the anti-codon, which is responsible for specific mRNA codon recognition, and the 3' end, to which the tRNAs corresponding amino acid is attached (by aminoacyl-tRNA synthetases). tRNAs cope with the degeneracy of the genetic code in two manners: having more than one tRNA (with a specific anti-codon) for a particular amino acid; and 'wobble' base-pairing, i.e. permitting non-standard base-pairing at the 3rd anti-codon position. The record is from Rfam by way of RNAcentral. Lineage: Eukaryota; Metazoa; Chordata; Mammalia; Carnivora; Ursidae.
UGGCUCAGUCAGAAGAGCACGUGACUUUUGAUCUCGGGGUUGUGAGUUUGAGCCUCAC